RNAcentral lists this ribosomal RNA (2082 nucleotides) under Triticum aestivum (bread wheat). RNAcentral describes it as "partial small subunit ribosomal RNA". The record is from RNAcentral. Lineage: Eukaryota; Viridiplantae; Streptophyta; Magnoliopsida; Poales; Poaceae.
AUGGCAAACAUUCAACAGCGGCCAGAGAGGCUCCCGAUAGUCAUACUGCAAGAGGCACUGACAAAUGACAAGGCAUAUAGAAAUCUACGCAUUGUGCAUCCAGUAGGUCCUCCGCCUGAUCCCGGUGCACUCCUCAUCUCUGAUCCAGCGGAAGCAAACGACGCGGAGAGGCUUCUGCAAGGGAUGGCGCCGGAUGGGGACAGGGUGCUCCACAUUGCUGCGAGGCUGGAGGAUGUGGAGCUAGUACGUGCCAUCUCCGUGACGGAGAGAUGGCUCAACGCGGUUGAUGCAACAGCGAAGAACAACAGAGAAGAGACUGCCCUACAUUGCGCGGCCGCUACGGGGAACGUCGACAUGAUCGGCGCCCUGCUCGCGCUGUUGGCCGAGCCUGAGCACGAUGACAGGACGAGGCAGCUGUUGAGAGAGCAGAAGGACAACGGGGAGACAUGUUUGCACGAGGCAGUGCGUUGUGGGAAAGAGGAUGCCGUGCGGAUAUUGGUCCAGGAGGAUGCGCGUGUCGUCCUCGGGCCCAACGACGGCCGUGCUCUGGUGAAAAUAACUGAUGAGCAGGGUGUUUCUGCUCUUUACUUGGCCACGAAACUGCGCCAGCUUGAGAUUGUUCAGCUACUCACCAAAGAACAAGAACCAGCCGGCACAUAUCCAGCAGCGUCCUACGACGGGCCUGGAAGAAAGACAGCUCUGCAUGCUGCGGUUCUCCUCGGCAAAGAUCUCAGCGAACAUCUCGCCAAGUGGAAUAAUAAGGAACUCAUAGGGAAAGAAGAUUUAUAUGGGAACACACCACUUCACCUUUUGGCAUCAACCAGUGACAAAAUUAUUGUGAAACUUCUUCUUGAUUUGGACGAGAGUGCUGGAUACCAUGCAGACUAUGAGGGAUCACUGCCCAUACAUGUUGCUGCUGCGAAUGGAAGCCUUGAAAUCGUCAAGCUCUUGUCUGAGCUUCGUCCCGGCUGCGCUUGGUCCUGCAAUAACUUUGGCCAGACUAUUCUACACAUUGCUGUCCAAGAGAGAAGAUACAGUGUGGUAAAUUAUGUUUCCUCGGAACUGAAGUUCGAACGGAUUUUCAACAUCAGGGAUACCGAUGGAAAUACGGCUCUCCAUAUGGCUGUAUUGCAAGGACAUCAACACAUCUUUUGCCAGCUCAUGCGGAGGAGGGAAGUAUGUUUGAGCUUCACAAACAAGGAGGAGCUUACACCACUUGAUCUUGCACAAUUGAGCAUCCCGCCAAAUAUUUCAUCAACGGCUGCUCCGUAUUUGAUUAUGAACAGCCUCAUAGUUGCCGGAGCUGACUGGGGCACCUACCGACGCGAUCACUGGGCUAGAAACCUGGCAAAACGCGAGGAAGGGAAGGAACCCGAAAGGAUCGGACAUGAUCACUUGGCUAGAAGCAUGGCAAAACAUGAGGAGGAGAAGGAAUCCCAAACGAUCGGCAAGUCCGCUGGCGUGCUGGGCGUCUGCGCGGUGCUCAUCUUGACCGCGGCAUUCGCGGCGCCUUUUGCGGUGGCGCCUUUCUACGAUACUAACAAGGAGAAGAGCAUGGCGAUGCGGUUUGCUUACAGGAUAUUCGCAAUGUCCGACUUCGGCGCAUUCGGAUUCGCCGCGGCAGCCAUAUCUUCCUGCACGUUUGCGGGGUUUCCCUUCCUGGACCGGACCAAACGCUUCUUGUACUUCAGCACCGGAUACCUGUUCCUGCUUUUCGCCGCCAUGUUCAUGAUCCUCGUCUUCAUGGGGGGAGUUUAUCUGGCGGUUCGCCCGGUGGUCGACAGCGCCACCCUCGCCUACGUCUAUCUGCCUGGUGUGCUAUACCCAUCCGCGUUGCUGCUGAUUCGCGCACUGGGUUCCAGACUGCUUCUCCAUAUGUGGGCGCUAACCUUGAGGCUUGGUUACCCGGGGUGGUUCUGCGCCCUGCCUUGCCUGCUCCCUCCGCCGCACCGAGGUCGUGACCAUAUAUAUCGCGCGCUUUAUGUGAGAUGCUCGUCCAGGUUCUUUUUCUUUUUCACAGUGUUCAUUCUUCUGGCGGUGCUUGCACUACUGUUGGCCAAGACGAAUAUACCAGCACGUUAG